CCCUUAGAUGUUCUGGGCCGCACGCGUGCUACACUGAGUAAUUCAAUGGGUAAGGGAACGCUAGAGCAUUACCUAAUCUUGAAAUUUGCUCGUGAUGGGGAUCGACGGUUGCAAUUUUCCGUCGUGAACGAGGAAUACCUUGUAGGCGCAUGUCAUCAUCAUGCGCCGAAUACGUCCCUGCCCUUUGUACACACCGCCCGUCGCUCCUACCGAUUGAGUGAUCCGGUGAGGCUCUGGGACCUGGACGGAAAGAGCGUUUCGCUUGUUCUGUUUGGGAAACUUGGUCGAACCUUAUCAUUUAGAGGAAGGUGAAGUCGUAACA
This 322-nucleotide ribosomal RNA is filed under the name uncultured eukaryote. Its description in RNAcentral is "partial 18S ribosomal RNA". It matches the Rfam family "Eukaryotic small subunit ribosomal RNA", at positions 1470 to 1796 of the family's 1831-position model. The record is from RNAcentral.